Molecule: long non-coding RNA, 380 nt
Filed under: Mytilus galloprovincialis (Mediterranean mussel)
Lineage: Eukaryota; Metazoa; Mollusca; Bivalvia; Mytilida; Mytilidae
Source: RNAcentral
UGUCUGUUUUCUUUAUAAUAAAUGAUGUCUGCUAAAAAAAAAUGACUUUCGGCAGUGUCGGCAGCCGCUGAUACUGAUAGAAAAGUCUGACAACUUAACUGUAUAAAUAACUGCGUCACGGAGGUUAUUUAAACGGAGGUUAGUUUUAUUUACAUUAUACAUGGAAAUAUGUAACAAUAUUGUUGAGUUGCUUUCUCAAAACUGAUUAUUGAGAAGCUUUAUGGGUGCUUUCAAUGAAAUAAUCAUCAUUUUGAUUUGUUCUUGGUUAGUGCGUUCCAAAAUACGCGUUACGUAGGUUGGAUUCUUAUAUGCGACAAUCGAAAAAAAGAGAAAGAGAAGAUUUUUUUUUAUUUUUCGUUUCAUUGCAAUAAAAGUUAAAG